AAUAGCUGAAAUCAAUGUAACGGCCGACAGAUUCACUGUAUAUGAUGAUGUUCUUGAUGGGAGAUUCAGAGACAGACUGAAGCUGGACAAUCAAACUGGAUCUCUGACCAUCACAAACAUCACAGAUGAACAUGCUGGAGAUUAUGUGCUAGCGAUAAAUGGAGCAAAACGAUCAUAUAAAGCUUUCAGAGUUUCUGUCUAUGACUCUGUCCACUGUUGUGGCCCAACUGAAGCUGUGAUCUGAUUGGUCCUCUCUGCUCUGGUGGGCGUGGCUACUGUCAUUCUUCUGGUUUAUGACAUCAGAUCCAGAAGAGCUGAACAACAUCAAGCACAUAUUCACACAUCAGAAACCUAAUGGUGUCAUUUCUCACAAACUGAUUUUACAUAUGUACCUUAUGAGAUUUACUUAUUUGUGGCUUUUAUGUGUUCAUCUUUUUCAGGAAGUAUUGAAAUGUAAAGCAAAACCCUGAACUUUAAAGGUUCUUCAAGUGUGUUUUUUGUUCUUCUAGUGUUUUUUUCAUAAUAAAUACUGAUGAUUGUUUAAUCUUGUGCUCUCUCUUUAUUGUUUAUAUUUGCUUGUCUUUAUCAAUAAAGUUUUCUCACUCUGA
Long non-coding RNA from Megalobrama amblycephala (Wuchang bream), 608 nucleotides. RefSeq lists it as uncharacterized. The record is from RefSeq and is a predicted model, not a curated record. NCBI's taxonomy places the organism in Eukaryota, Metazoa, Chordata, Actinopteri, Cypriniformes, Xenocyprididae. The transcript is spliced from 2 exons.